GCACUGGUGGUUCAGUGGUAGAGUUCUCGCCUUCCAUGCAGGAGACCUAGUUUCGAUUCCUGAUCAAUGCA
RNAcentral lists this transfer RNA (71 nucleotides) under Loxodonta africana (African savanna elephant). It matches the Rfam family "tRNA". From Rfam's summary of the family: Transfer RNA (tRNA) molecules are approximately 80 nucleotides in length. The record is from Rfam by way of RNAcentral. Lineage: Eukaryota; Metazoa; Chordata; Mammalia; Proboscidea; Elephantidae.